This is a long non-coding RNA of Rana temporaria (common frog), 262 nucleotides long. RefSeq lists it as uncharacterized. NCBI's taxonomy places the organism in Eukaryota, Metazoa, Chordata, Amphibia, Anura, Ranidae. The record is from RefSeq and is a predicted model, not a curated record. The transcript is spliced from 3 exons.
GGAUUCCACACAGGAAGGUCACACCAUCCCCCACCAUCAUCAGAGCUGUAAUCUCGGGGACUAUAAUAUUGUAGUUAAAGAAGAGUAUAAAGAGGAGUAUGGAGUGAUGGAGGAGUUUUCAGAAGGACACAAGGAUAUGAUGGAGCCACCUAAUACCAGGAACCCACCAGAGAGAUGUCCCCGUCCUCUGUAUUCCACACAGGAAGGUCCCACCAUCCCUCACUGUUGCAAGAGUGGAGAUCCAAUCGAUAUAGAAUUUGAG